Molecule: transfer RNA, 60 nt
Filed under: Actinomycetota bacterium
Lineage: Bacteria; Bacillati; Actinomycetota
Description: tRNA-Val
Source: RNAcentral
CGCUCUCGGCAGAGCGCUGCCUUCACACGGCAGAGGUCGCUGGUUCGAACCCAGCAUCGC